Oncorhynchus tshawytscha (Chinook salmon) is the source of this 5103-nucleotide long non-coding RNA. NCBI's taxonomy places the organism in Eukaryota, Metazoa, Chordata, Actinopteri, Salmoniformes, Salmonidae. The record is from Ensembl.
UGAUGAACUCAUCCAAACUGAAAUAUUACUGAUGAACUCAUCCCAACUGAACUAUUACUGAUGAACUCAUCCAAACUGAACUAUUCCUGAUGAACUCAUCCAAACUGAAAUAUUACUGAUGAACUCAUCCCAACUGAACUAUUACUGAUGAACUCAUCCCAACUGAACUAUUCCUGAUGAACUGAUCCCAACUGAACUAUUCCUGAUGAACUCAUCCCAACUGAACUAUAACUGGUUUGAAACAAACUUCAGUUAGUUGGUGUCCACCCUAGUCUGUAUCGAUCUGGGAUGCAUUCCAAGUGGCACCCUAAUCCCUUUAUAGUGCACUACUUAUGAAUAGGGCCCUAUGGGGAUGCAGACCUGGUGUAAGUACUUGCUGUUACUAAAGGCUCCAUUACCUACCUGCGGAACCUUACCUCUCUCAUCACAAGGGUCUUCAACACAACUCCUGGAGGGUUUUUUGGAAGAUUUAAAAAAAACAAACAGAGGUGUACAUAACAAAUGGCAUCCUAUUCUCUUUGAAGUGCACUACUUUUGACCAGGGUAAUAGUAUGCCGUUUGUGACACACCCUAGAGUAUUCUCAGUCAAUUGUCGACCGGCUAAUCAUAAACCAAAGAUGACAGGAGAGCUUUAUAAUGGCUAGUAAUGGCUAGGUGAGAUGUGUUGGAUGGCAUCUGUAUCGCUGUUGAACUAAACAGUUAGCGUACUAGUGAUUAUACAAUAUUAGUUUCUUCCUAUAUCAUAGGCUACAUUCAAACUUGUAGAGGACAUUUAAAUUAGUGCAAUACAUAUUGGAUGGCUAUAAAGGUUUGUGUUACAGGAUAGAAUUAGCAGGUAUUCUAGUCUCGCUAAUAUCCCCUACAGGAUAGAAUUAGCAGGUAUGCUAGUCUAGCUAAUAGCCCAUACAGGAUAGAAUUAGCAGGUAUGCUAGUCUAGCUAAUAACCCCUACAGGAUAGAAUUAGCAGGUAUGCUAGUCUAGCUAAUAACCCAUACAGGAUAGAAUUAGCAGGUAUGCUAGUCUCGCUAAUAUCCCCUACAGGAUAGAAUUAGCAGGUAUGCUAGUCUCGCUAAUAUCCCCUACAGGAUAGAAUUAGCAGGUAUGCUAGUCUCGCUAAUAUCCCCUACAGGAUAGAAUUAGCAGGUAUGCUAGUCUCGCUAAUAUCCCCUACAGGAUAGAAUUAGCAGGUAUGCUAGUCUAGCUAAUAUCCCCUCUGGUUACAUUGUUCUGUAACGGCUCAUUCUCGUAUGAGCAAUUGAGCAUAUCAACUCACUGUGCUAAGUCUAGGGUUGCAAAAAUACAUAAGGUAUACUUUCAAAAAAAAUUCCAUGGUUUUCCAGAAAUCCUGGUUGGAAGAUUCCUCUUAAGAUUCUGAGCAAUGUGUCAAUGACCACACUAUGAAUAUAUGUGUAUCUGAGUUAGGUUGUUUUGGUUGGCGGUCAAUUCCGUCGAUUCAUGGAAAAAAAAAGAAAGUAAAAGCAUUUAACAAUUCAAGGAUUUAAUUGAAACUUACCAAAUUUCAACUUUUGAAUUGACUGAAUCGAUAGUUGAACUGAGCCCAACUCUGCGUUGAACCUCUCUAAAUGUGUCCUCCCUCAAUCUCAGACCUGUAGUUAUUUUUUAUUUUUUUAUUUUACCUUUAUUUAACUAGGCAAGUGAGUUAAGAACACAUUCUUAUUUUCAAUGACGGCCUGGGAACAGUGGGUUAACUGCCUGUUCAGGGGCAGAACGACAGAUUUGUACCUUGUCAGGUCAGAGGUUUGAACUCACAACCUUCCGGUUAAUAGUCCAACGCUCUAACCACCCUGCCGCCCCAGUUCAAUCAACAACUUCUCGAUGUCAUUGACUAUGUUGUUCUUAUGAAUGUAUUCAGGCUGUCUGUGUCUAUGACUAUACUAUCAGUGUUAUUGUCAAUGAAUGUAACUAUUUGAAUGUUCUCUGACUGCCUGUCAAUGAAUGUAACUAUUUGAAUGUUUUCUGACAGUGUCUGAAUGUAUUUCAGUUUCCGUAGGACUACUCAUGUUCUGAGUCCCACCAAUAUCAGACCUCUGAAUAUCAGAGUGCCCAAAUGGCGGUAUUUUCCCUACAUAGUGCACUACUUUUGACCAGAGCCAUCAAAAGUAAUGCACUAGGGGAUAGGCUGCAAUUUGGGACUCAGUUCAACCUGUUGAUCAGCCUGUUGAUCAACCUGUUGAUCAGCCUGUAAAACUGUUGGAGACGUUCAGGUUGAGGUUUUCAGUUCGGACAGCAAGCAAACAUUUGUUGUGUUAUACUUGUUUAAAAAAAAUAAUUCUGUGAAACAUAUGAGACGAUCAGCAAUUGGCCAUUGGGUACAUGUCAAUCAUUCCUCAAUCAGCCCCAGCCCCACCCCCAUUGCUGUUUACUUACACACACACACACACACACACACACACACACACACACAAAUACACGUUUUAUCUGUUUAUUAUUGUUAUUACUAGGCUAUUAUUAUGAUUAUUUUUAAAUGCAUGAUGAGGUAAUAAUGUAAAUAGUUCAUUCACAAAGACGUCUUUCCACAUUCUGAAGGACCACGUUCGACAUUCGUACGAGGCUAGAAGAAAGUGUUUGAAUAGAGAACACAGCAUGUGGGCUAGUUAUUAAUAUUAUGUUGCAACUGUGAAAGAGAGAGGGGCAGAGAGAGAGAGAGGCAGAGAGAGAGGCAGAGAUAGAGGCAGUGAGAGAGAGGCAGGGUUGAGAGAGAGAGAGGCAGUGAGAGAGGCAGAGAGAGAGAGAGAAAGGCAGAGAAAGCAAAGGAGAGAAAGGCAGAAAGAAAGGCAGAGAAAGGAGAAAGGCAGAGAGAAAGGCAGAGAGAGAAAGGCAGAGAGAGAGAGAAAGGCAGAGAGAAAGGCAGAGAGAAAGGCAGAGAGAGAGGCAGAGAGAGGCAGGCAGAGAGAAAGGCAGAGAGAGAGGCAGAGAGAGAGAAAGGCAGAGAGAAAGGCAGAGAGAAAGGCAGAGAGAGAGGCAGAGAGAGAGAGAAAGGCAGAGAGAAAGGCAGAGAGAAAGGCAGAGAGAGAGGCAGAGAGAGAGAGAAAGGCAGAGAGAAAGGCAGAGAGAGAGGCAGAGAGAGAGAGGCAGAGAGAGAAAAACAGAGAGAGAGAGAGGCAGAGAGAGAGAGAGAGAAUAACAUCUAACUACAACUAACUAGGUUAUAAGUUUUACAGUAAUCAGCACAGCACCUGUAGACCAGACCAGGCCCAUAGUACUUUGUCCUUCAGUAAGCCACUCUAAAUGGUGAUUACAUUUCUUAGAUCCAACUCACAGUUUCUACGUGAAACAAGCACACCCCGCAGCUCAUGUCAAUCAGAGUAACACUGAGGAGUAAGAGCGGGUGGGUUUAUUUUGCGUUUAGAGAGUUAUAGUAGUGUCUUCUUAGAUCAGGGCUGCUGAAACCCUUUUCAUGGAGAGCUACCCUCCUGUAGGUUGUUGCUCCAACCCUUAGCUAACAUACCUGAUUUAGCUAGGUAAGGUGUUGUUGAGCAUCUAGGGUUGGACGGACCCUGCAGGAGAAGAGCUCUCCGUGAACAUGGAUGGGCAGCCUUGUCUUGGAUCAACACCAGGCAACAGCAGACUUGCAGAGCCUUCAGAAAACAUUCACACCCCUGAACUUUUUAUACAUUUUAUUCUGUUACAGCUUGAAUGGAAAAAAAUGAUCAAAUUGAGAUUUUGUGUCAUUGGCCUUAAUGUCAAAAUGUCAUUGUGUUUUUUUUUAAAUUGACAAAUUACUUAAAAAUUAAAAGCUGAAAUGUCUUGAGCAUAUACUCACACAAUGAGCUGUAAGGUCCUUCAGUUGAGCAAUGCAUAUCAAAUACAGAUUCAACCACAAAGAACAGGGAGGUUUUCCAAUGCUUCACGAAGAAGGGCACCUAUUGGUAGAUGGCUAAACAUAAAAAAGCAGACAUUGAAUAUCCCUUUGAGCAUAGUGAAGCUAUUAAUAACACUUUGGAAGGUGUAUCAAUACACCCAGUCACUACAAAGAUACAGGCGUCCUUCCUAACUCAGUUGCCAGAGAUGAAGGAAACCACUGAAGGAUUUCACCAUGAGGCCAAUUGUGACUUUAAAACAGUUACUGAGUUUUAAUGGCUGUGAUAGGAGAAAACUGAGGAUGGAUCCACAACAUUGUAGUUCCUCCACAAUACUAACCUAAAUGACAGAGUGAAAAGAAACAAUCCUGCAUAGAAAAACAAUAUUCCAAAACAUGCAUCCUGUUUGCAAUAAGGCAUUUAAGUAAAAUCCAAAAAACACAUAACUGAGUACCACUGUUCAUAUUUUCAAGCAUGGUGGUGGCUGCAUCAUGUUAUGGGUAUGCUUGUCAUCAGCAAAGACUAGGGAGUUUUUUUAGGAUAAAAAUAAAUGAAAUAGAGCUAAGGCAAAAUCUUAGAGGAAAAUCUGGUUCAGUCUGCUUUCCACCAGACACUGGGAGAUUAAUUUACCUUUCAGCAGGACAACAACCUAAAACACAAGGCCAAAUAUAAACAGCAGUUGGUUACCAAGACAACAUUGAAUGUUCCUGAGUGGCAUAAUUAAAAUCAGCUUGAAAAUCUAUGGCAAGACAUGAAAAUGGCUGUCAAGCAAUGAUCAACAACCAACUUGACAGAGCUUGAAGAAUUUUCUUAAGAAUAAUGUGCAAAUAUUGUACAAUAAAGGUGCAAAGCUCUUUUGAAACUUACCCAGAAAGACUCACAGGUGUAAUCACUCUUAGAGACUCACUCAAAAAGACUCACAGGUGUAAUCCCUGCCAAAGGUGAUUCUAACAUGUAUUGACUCAGGGGUGUGAAUUCUUAUGUAAAUUAGAGAUUUCUGUAUUUCAUUUUCAAUAAAUGUGUAGAUAUUUGUAAAAACAUGUUUUCACUUUGUCAUUAUGGGGUAUUGUGUGUAGAUGGAUGACAAAAAAUAUAUUUAAUCCAUUUUAAUUUCAGGCUGUAACACAACAACAUGCGGAAUAAGUUAAGGUGCUGCAGAGAUGUUGAUGGCAUCUCAGCCAUAGAUGAAUAUACAGUUGAAGUCGGAAGUUUACAUAAACCUGAGCCAAAUUAAUUUAAACUCAGUUUUUCACAAUUCCUGAUAUUUAAUCCUUGUAAAAAU